RNAcentral lists this non-coding RNA (148 nucleotides) under Nomascus leucogenys (northern white-cheeked gibbon). Lineage: Eukaryota; Metazoa; Chordata; Mammalia; Primates; Hylobatidae. The record is from Rfam by way of RNAcentral.
GCCAGGCUUAGUGGUGUUAGCCUGUAGUCCCAGCUACUUCGGAGGCUGAGGCAGGAGGAUCCCUUGAGCCCAGGAAUUCAAGGCUGCAGUGAGCUAUGAUCACACCACUGCACUCCAGCCUGGGAUACAGAGCAAGACUCUGUCUCUU